UGCCCAAACAAAAAAAAAGGGGGGGUGGAGUGCUUAGGAUAUAGAUAUUCAGCCCUUUUUGUAAAGGCCCAUACUCUAAGAAUUUAGGUUUAUUCUUAUCACUUAGCUAGUUAUACAGGUAUAAAAGAAAGAAUCAAAAUCACUGUCUGCCGGUGUAAGGGCCUUCUCUUACUGUGACAGUCUGAG
Molecule: long non-coding RNA, 186 nt
Organism: Chelonia mydas (Green sea turtle)
Lineage: Eukaryota; Metazoa; Chordata; Testudines; Cheloniidae
Exons: 3
Source: RefSeq, a predicted model, not a curated record